This 4263-nucleotide long non-coding RNA is filed under the name Olea europaea (common olive). RNAcentral's name for it is "long non-coding RNA (OEUR_LNC008059)". Lineage: Eukaryota; Viridiplantae; Streptophyta; Magnoliopsida; Lamiales; Oleaceae. The record is from RNAcentral.
UACACUGUGAAUACUCCAUUUUUGAAGCCAUGGCGCGCCAAUCCAAUCCGAAACCGAAGCCGUUAUACACUCUCUUCUUCUUCAUGAUCCUUUGUGGAUUCACCUACGGUCGCUUCAUUUCUGACAGUCCAGAUCUCGUCUCUGACGGGGUUCAUACACACGCCUCCAGUUUGCCUUCAUUUAUCCGCAUGUACGCGGCAGAGGAGACGUGUGAACAAACGUACGGGUUCAUGCCGUGCACCUCUACGGCAUUGGGAAAUCUGUUCCUAAUUAUAGUUUAUGGAUACCUGAUGUUCCAAGCCGCGACGUACCUCUCCAGUGGUAGUGAGCUUUUGCUUGAGAUUCUCGGUCCUGGAAUUGUUGGUGGUCUUUUUCUCCCUAUUCUCGGAGCUCUUCCUGAUGCUAUGCUUAUUCUCGGUACUAAUCAAUUUUCACUAUUUCAUCGUAUAUUCAAAGUUAGCUGAAUUUAUUAUGCUUUGCUGUGCGCUUUGCCCGGUCAGCUAUAAAAAGAGUUAAUGAAAAUUUCAGGUUGAAUAGAAACUUGAUACACAUAGCGCAGUGUUGAGAGCAGAUUGUCUGAAAAUUGAGUCGGAUACUCUAUACCUACAUGCAUAGUAAUUUAAAUUUCCUUUAAUUAAUAUCACAAGUUGAAAAGCAAAGUAUGCGUCUUUGGGUAUAAAUUCAUCUCUAAGAAACUGAAAAUGAAUAGAUUUGGUCUUUUUGAUUUAUUUAUUUUUUCAAAAAAGUAAAUAUCCCCUUUAGAUUUUUUUUUUUUUAAAAUUCAUAACAGUGUCUACCCCCUCACAUGGAGGAGACUCACUCAUUUAUUUGAAGUGGAUCCCCCUCCACGUAAGGGAUGGACACCGUUAUAGAGAUCGUAUUAUAUAAAAGUAGCAUAUUCCUUUUUUUAAAACCUUCCUUUGUAUUUAACCGCAUGAUGUAGUAAAUUAGAUUAGGGAAUUUACCAACUUAAUGUUCAUCUUCUCCCAUGUUUUAAAUUUGAAAAUUUUAAUGACAUUAUCAAUACUUCUUCAAAUGAAUUUGUCUUAAUUAUAAAAUUCUGAAAUUUGAAAAUCUCGGAGGGAAGUCGUUAGUAGUUGCAAUCAUGCUCUCGUACUUUUAUUUUAUUUUAUUUUAAGACCCAAAACAAAAGACUUAAUCCAACUUUGCAGAACAGACUAUGCCCCGUUUGAUAGAGAUAAAAAUCAGCUUUUUAGCAAAUUUUGAUAAAAAUUGAUAAAAUAUGUGAUUGAAAAACUGUAAAUCUUAUAAAAUAUGUAAUUAAAAUUAAUUGUUGAUUUUGACUUUGAUAAAAAAAAAAAUUUUAACUUCUAUUAGACGGGAGCUAUAUAAUGUUAAUGAUUACGGUUAACAACCAAUUAUAAGUUGGACUACAACACACAUUUCAAGGGCCAAUUACAUUGUGUAUUUGAAACAGUGAAACAUCGCCCCUGUUUAUUUCUUAUUCUUUCUCCACUAGAAUGAAAAAUAUGACUGUUAUCUAUCACAUCAAGCCACCAAAUUUGAAUUUAUAUCUCUUGUGUGAGAUCCAUAACGGUUAUAUUUUUCAUUCUCAUUUUUACAAAAAUGGGAAACAAACGCCCCCUUCAAUUCAUUUAUGACAAAUACAAGACACAGAAAAACUUACAACAAGCAAUUUAUUUCGAUAUAAACCAAAUUCCAAUAAAUUCUGGUCCCUGCUACUUAUACAAUGCCCUGUCUAAACAGGGGGCGAUGUGACGCCCCCUAUUGGCCGGAGCUGCGUAGAUACCAAGCCAAUCUGUUUGGACGGGACAUUGUCCAAGAGGAAAAACUCAUAAAUUGUUGUCAUAUACUUCCUAAUUUAAGUAUCGAAAUCUUAUCACUAGUUCACACGAUUUUACCUAUUAUUUUAUACCAACAAUAAUUGCAACAUGUGUUAAGAACUGCGUUUGGUCUUGCGUCUUUUGACCCCCCUGAUCUCGUACUCAAAAUGGAACGAAAUAAAGAUACACGUUAAUGAUCAUUAAUUUUAUUAGAAAAAUGAUCAUUUUAUUUAUAAUUAAAUUUGAUUUCGAUUCGAUGCAAGAUCUAGUAAUGAACAUAAAAACGUUAGUUUAUUUAAAAUAAAUUAAAUAGUUUAUAUUCUUACACUAUACAAGAGAAUGAAAAUAUGGGGACCGAAUUUAAAAUAAUAGGUUAUUGAAAUAAAAUAAUAUUUACAAAAUUCUGCACCUUAUCAAAUGAAUUUCCAUACACGGCUUACACACACACUCACUACAAUCAACCCGCACUAAACACGCUCUUCGUCUCACACAUAUGGAUACACCGCAUGUCUAUAUAGAUACAUAUAUUUUCUUCGACACAUACUACACUGUGAAUACUCCAUUUUUGAAGCCAUGGCGCGCCAAUCCAAUCCGAAACCGAAGCCGUUAUACACUCUCUUCUUCUUCAUGAUCCUUUGUGGAUUCACCUACGGUCGCUUCAUUUCUGACAGUCCAGAUCUCGUCUCUGACGGGGUUCAUACACACGCCUCCAGUUUGCCUUCAUUUAUCCGCAUGUACGCGGCAGAGGAGACGUGUGAACAAACGUACGGGUUCAUGCCGUGCACCUCUACGGCAUUGGGAAAUCUGUUCCUAAUUAUAGUUUAUGGAUACCUGAUGUUCCAAGCCGCGACGUACCUCUCCAGUGGUAGUGAGCUUUUGCUUGAGAUUCUCGGUCCUGGAAUUGUUGGUGGUCUUUUUCUCCCUAUUCUCGGAGCUCUUCCUGAUGCUAUGCUUAUUCUCGGUACUAAUCAAUUUUCACUAUUUCAUCGUAUAUUCAAAGUUAGCUGAAUUUAUUAUGCUUUGCUGUGCGCUUUGCCCGGUCAGCUAUAAAAAGAGUUAAUGAAAAUUUCAGGUUGAAUAGAAACUUGAUACACAUAGCGCAGUGUUGAGAGCAGAUUGUCUGAAAAUUGAGUCGGAUACUCUAUACCUACAUGCAUAGUAAAAAUGAUCAUUUUAUUUAUAAUUAAAUUUGAUUUCGAUUCGAUGCAAGAUCUAGUAAUGAACAUAAAAACGUUAGUUUAUUUAAAAUAAAUUAAAUAGUUUAUAUUCUUACACUAUACAAGAGAAUAAAAAUAUAGGGACCGAAUUUAAAAUAAUAGGUUCUUGAAAUAAAAUAAUAUUUACAAAAUUCUGCACCUUAUCAAAUGAAUUUCCAUACACGGCUUACACACACACACUAACUGCAAUCAACACGCACUAAACACGCUCUUCGUCUCACACAUAUGGAUACACCGCAUGUCUAUAUAGAUACAUAUAUUUUCUUCGACACAUACUACACUGUGAAUACUCCAUUUUUGAAGCCAUGGCGCGCCAAUCCAAUCCGAAACCGAAGCCGUUAUACACUCUCUUCUUCUUCAUGAUCCUUUGUGGAUUCACCUACGGUCGCUUCAUUUCUGACAGUCCAGAUCUCGUCUCUGACGGGGUUCAUACACACGCCUCCAGUUUGCCUUCAUUUAUCCGCAUGUACGCGGCAGAGGAGACGUGUGAACAAACGUACGGGUUCAUGCCGUGCACCUCUACGGCAUUGGGAAAUCUGUUCCUAAUUAUAGUUUAUGGAUACCUGAUGUUCCAAGCCGCGACGUACCUCUCCAGUGGUAGUGAGCUUUUGCUUGAGAUUCUCGGUCCUGGAAUUGUUGGUGGUCUUUUUCUCCCUAUUCUCGGAGCUCUUCCUGAUGCUAUGCUUAUUCUCGGUACUAAUCAAUUUUCACUAUUUCAUCGUAUAUUCAAAGUUAGCUGAAUUUAUUAUGCUUUGCUGUGCGCUUUGCCCGGUCAGCUAUAAAAAGAGUUAAUGAAAAUUUCAGGUUGAAUAGAAACUUGAUACACAUAGCGCAGUGUUGAGAGCAGAUUGUCUGAAAAUUGAGUCGGAUACUCUAUACCUACAUGCAUAGUAAUUUAAAUUUCCUUUAAUUAAUAUCACAAGUUGAAAAGCAAAGUAUGCGUCUUUGGGUAUAAAUUCAUCUCUAAGAAACUGAAAAUGAAUAGAUUUGGUCUUUUUGAUUUAUUUAUUUUUUCAAAAAAGUAAAUAUCCCCUUUAGAUUUUUUUUUUUUUUUUAAAUUCAUAACAGUGUCUACCCCCUCACAUGGAGGAGACUCACUCAUUUAUUUGAAGUGGAUCCCCCUCCACGUAAGGGAUGGACACCGUUAUAGAGAUCGUAUUAUAUAAAAGUAGCAUAUUCCUUUUUUUAAAACCUUCCUUUGUAUUUAACCGCAUGAUGUAGUAAAUUAGAUUAGGGAAUUU